UGGGGAAUAUUGCACAAUGGGCGCAAGCCUGAUGCAGCGACGCCGCGUGAGGGAUGACGGCUUUCGGGUUGUAAACCUCUUUCAGUAGGGAAGAAGCGAAAGUGACGGUACCUGCAGAAGAAGCGCCGGCUAACUACGUGCCAGCAGCCGCGGUAAUACGUAGGGCGCAAGCGUUAUCCGGAAUUAUUGGGCGUAAAGAGCUCGUAGGCGGUUUGUCGCGUCUGCCGUGAAAGUCCGGGGCUCAACUCCGGAUCUGCGGUGGGUACGGGCAGACUAGAGUGAUGUAGGGGAGACUGGAAUUCCUGGUGUAGCGGUGAAAUGCGCAGAUAUCAGGAGGAACACCGAUGGCGAAGGCAGGUCUCUGGGCAUUAACUGACGCUGAGGAGCGAAAGCAUGGGGAGUGAACAG
RNAcentral lists this ribosomal RNA (408 nucleotides) under uncultured bacterium. RNAcentral describes it as "bacterial SSU rRNA". It matches the Rfam family "Bacterial small subunit ribosomal RNA", at positions 355 to 775 of the family's 1533-position model. The record is from RNAcentral.